This 500-nucleotide ribosomal RNA is filed under the name uncultured bacterium. RNAcentral's name for it is "partial 16S ribosomal RNA". It matches the Rfam family "Bacterial small subunit ribosomal RNA", at positions 355 to 847 of the family's 1533-position model. The record is from RNAcentral.
UGGGGAAUAUUGGACAAUGGGGGAACCCUGAUCCAGCCAUGCCGCGUGUGUGAAGAAGGCCUUUUGGUUGUAAAGCACUUUAAGCGAGGAGGAGGCGCUCUAGGAUAAUACCCUAGAUACGUGGACGUUACUCGCAGAAUAAGCACCGGCUAACUCUGUGCCAGCAGCCGCGGUAAUACAGAGGGUGCGAGCGUUAAUCGGAUUUACUGGGCGUAAAGCGCGCGUAGGUGGCUAAUUAAGUCAAAUGUGAAAUCCCCGAGCUUAACUUGGGAAUUGCAUUCGAUACUGGUUAGCUAGAGUAUGGGAGAGGAUGGUAGAAUUCCAGGUGUAGCGGUGAAAUGCGUAGAGAUCUGGAGGAAUACCGAUGGCGAAGGCAGCCAUCUGGCCUAAUACUGACACUGAGGUGCGAAAGCAUGGGGAGCAAACAGGAUUAGAUACCCUGGUAGUCCAUGCCGUAAACGAUGUCUACUAGCCGUUGGGGCCUUUGAGGCUUUAGUGGC